This 333-nucleotide unclassified non-coding RNA is filed under the name soil metagenome. RNAcentral's name for it is "partial contains 5.8S ribosomal RNA, internal transcribed spacer 2, and large subunit ribosomal RNA". The stretch from base 1 to 120 matches the Rfam family "5.8S ribosomal RNA", at positions 35 to 154 of the family's 154-position model. The record is from RNAcentral.
GAUGAAGAACGCAGCAAAAUGCGAUAAGUAAUGUGAAUUGCAGAAUUCAGUGAAUCAUCGAAUCUUUGAACGCACAUUGCGCCCGCCAGUAUUCUGGCGGGCAUGCCUGUUCGAGCGUCAUUUCAACCCUCAAGCUCAGCUUGGUGUUGGGACUCGCGGUAACCCGCGUUCCCCAGAUCGAUUGGCGGUCACGUCGAGCUUCCAUAGCGUAGUAAUCAUACACCUCGUUACUGGUAAUCGUCGCGGCCACGCCGUAAAACCCCAACUUCUGAAUGUUGACCUCGGAUCAGGUAGGAAUACCCGCUGAACUUAAGCAUAUCAAUAAGCGGAGGA